This 460-nucleotide ribosomal RNA is filed under the name uncultured bacterium. Its description in RNAcentral is "partial 16S ribosomal RNA". It matches the Rfam family "Bacterial small subunit ribosomal RNA", at positions 338 to 795 of the family's 1533-position model. The record is from RNAcentral.
CCUACGAGAGGCUGCAGUGAGGAAUAUUGGUCAAUGGGCGCAAGUCUGAACCAGCCAUGCCGCGUGCAGGAAGACGGCUCUAUGAGUUGUAAACUGCUUUUGUACGAGGGUAAACGCAGAUACGCGUAUCUGUCUGAAAGUAUCGUACGAAUAAGGAUCGGCUAACUCCGUGCCAGCAGCCGCGGUAAUACGGAGGAUUCAAGCGUUAUCCGGAUUUAUUGGGUUUAAAGGGUGCGUAGGCGGUCGGAUAAGUUAGAGGUGAAAUCCCGAGGCUCAACUUCGGAAUUGCCUCUGAUACUGUUCGGCUAGAGAGUAGUUGCGGUAGGCGGAAUGUAUGGUGUAGCGGUGAAAUGCUUAGAGAUCAUACAGAACACCGAGUGCGAAGGCAGCUUACCAAGCUACUUCUGACGUUGAGGCACGAAAGCGUGGGGAGCAAACAGGAUUAGAUACCCCGGUAGUC